GCACACGUAGGCAAGAUAGUAAGCCGGCGGAUUGCAACCCCGCCAUGCAGCCGUGCAAAUCGGCUCGUGUGCUCCA
Molecule: transfer RNA, 76 nt
Filed under: Candidatus Obscuribacterales bacterium
Lineage: Bacteria; Bacillati; Candidatus Melainabacteria; Candidatus Obscuribacterales
Description: tRNA-Cys
Source: RNAcentral